This 515-nucleotide unclassified non-coding RNA is filed under the name uncultured Glomus. Its description in RNAcentral is "SSU rRNA". It matches the Rfam family "Eukaryotic small subunit ribosomal RNA", at positions 569 to 1089 of the family's 1831-position model. The record is from RNAcentral. Lineage: Eukaryota; Fungi; Glomeromycota; Glomeromycetes; Glomerales; Glomeraceae.
AGCAGCCGCGGUAAUUCCAGCUCCAAUAGCGUAUAUUAAAGUUGCUGCAGUUAAAAGCUCGUAGUUGAAUUUCGGGAUCAAUAUGUUGGUCGUGCCUCGGUACGUACUAGCUUAUUGGUUUCUCCCUUCUGACGAACCAUGAUGUCAUUUAUUUGGUGUUAUGGGAAAUCAGGACUGUUACUUUGAAAAAUUAGAGUGUUUAAAGCAGGCUCACGCUUGAAUACAUUAGCAUGGAAUAAUGAAAUAGGACGUUUGAUUCUAUUUUGUUGGUUUCUAGGAUCGACGUAAUGAUUAAUAGGGAUAGUUGGGGGCAUUAGUAUUCAAUUGUCAGAGGUGAAAUUCUUGGAUUUAUUGAAGACUAACUACUGCGAAAGCAUUUGCCAAGGAUGUUUUCAUUAAUCAAGAACGAAAGUUAGGGAUCGAAGACGAUCAGAUACCGUCGUAGUCUUAACCAUAAACUAUGCCGACUAGGGAUCGGAUGAUGUUAAUUUUUUAAUGUACUCAUUCGGCGUCCG